GACGAACGCUGGCGGCGUGCUUAACACAUGCAAGUCGAACGGAAAGGCCCUGCUUUUGUGGGGUGCUCGAGUGGCGAACGGGUGAGUAACACGUGAGUAACCUGCCCUUGACUUUGGGAUAACUUCAGGAAACUGGGGCUAAUACCGGAUAGGAGCUCCUGCUGCAUGGUGGGGGUUGGAAAGUUUCGGCGGUUGGGGAUGGGCUCGCGGCUUAUCAGCUUGUUGGUGGGGUAGUGGCUUACUAAGGCUUUGACGGGUAGCCGGCCUGAGAGGGUGACCGGCCACAUUGGGACUGAGAUACGGCCCAGACUCCUACGGGAGGCAGCAGUGGGGAAUAUUGCACAAUGGGCGGAAGCCUGAUGCAGCAACGCCGCGUGCGGGAUGACGGCCUUCGGGUUGUAAACCGCUUUCGCCUGUGACGAAGCGUGAGUGACGGUAAUGGGUAAAGAAGCACCGGCUAACUACGUG
RNAcentral lists this ribosomal RNA (468 nucleotides) under uncultured bacterium. Its description in RNAcentral is "partial 16S ribosomal RNA". It matches the Rfam family "Bacterial small subunit ribosomal RNA", at positions 28 to 507 of the family's 1533-position model. The record is from RNAcentral.